AUACGGAGGGUGCAAGCGUUACUCGGAAUCACUGGGCGUAAAGCGCGCGCAGGCGGCUAUUUAAGUUGGAUGUGAAAGCCUACGGCUCAACCGUAGAACUGCAUCCAAAACUAUUUAGCUAGAGUGUGGGAGAGGAAGAUGGAAUUAGUUGUGUAGGGGUAAAAUCCGUAGAGAUAACUAGGAAUACCAAAAGCGAAGGCAAUCUUCUGGAACACUACUGACGCUGAGGCGCGAAAGCGUAGGGAGCAAACAGGAUUAGAAACCCCGGUAGUCC
This 274-nucleotide ribosomal RNA is filed under the name uncultured bacterium. RNAcentral's name for it is "partial 16S ribosomal RNA". It matches the Rfam family "Bacterial small subunit ribosomal RNA", at positions 523 to 796 of the family's 1533-position model. The record is from RNAcentral.